RNAcentral lists this long non-coding RNA (5530 nucleotides) under Nicotiana tabacum (common tobacco). RNAcentral describes it as "long non-coding RNA (NTAB_LNC006275)". The record is from RNAcentral. Lineage: Eukaryota; Viridiplantae; Streptophyta; Magnoliopsida; Solanales; Solanaceae.
UACCCCUAACUCAUCUUACAGACCUCUCAAACCCUAUUCUCCUUACCCUAAUCCUUCGCUGCCGCCGGAAAUCGCCCACGGCGGCGGCAUUACUCCAAUAAACCCCAAAAUGUCAUCCCAUAACCCUUGUUAUCUCCUCGUUCUUUUCCUACCAUUAGUUUCGUCAAAAACCUCCUAUAUUUGCUUGAUUUUUAGAUCUAAAAGGGAAGAACCCUAAUCCUUUUCUUUUAUUGAUUGCUUCUGAAUCUAGGUCGUGUGACGAUGAAAUUUAUACCAAUCGAUUAAUCUCAUUGGUGACUAUCAAUUGGUAUCAAUCUCGAUUCGACUAAUGGUCACCAGAACUUGAUUAAAACCUGGUCGACCGGCCAGAACUUUGGAGCUCCCAUAACUAUGAUUCUCUUGGUCGGUGUAUGCCGGAUAUCAUCACAUAUAGCAUUGGCUAUGCCUCGAGUGUGAGCUAGUGCUCGUGUGGCGAUGCCGGCUAUUAACCGAACUUUUUUUUUUCCGGCAGCAUUAUCGUCUACUGUUAGUCUUUUCUUCUCAUCUUUCAUUCCCUAGAAUUGAUGAUUCGCCGUUUAAUUGUUAAUCAUUAGUUAAAUCAUAAUUUUGCUUGACAGCAUGCUAAGGUUAAUAGUUAGUCACUAGUAAAUUAUUUUAAUCUUCUGAGUAACUACUUGUUGAAUUGAAUCUGAAGUUGGUCAAUUGAUAAUUACUUGUUGGUUUGAAUUGCAUAUCUACUUAAUCAACUUGUUUAAUCAGUUGUUGAGUCAUGUUUAGCUUAUGUUUGUUAGCUUACUGUUAAUUCAGUUUAGUUAAUUGCUACCUGUUAAACGUUUGGUUCUGAUAUGAGAAAGAGGGCAGUAAUUUUAGGUACAGGGUAGUAAAAUGAUGAGUUAAAAGAAAAGGCUAAACGAAGGGUGUUAACAUAGACUUGAGAGAGUUAAAGGAAAUAAGAAAAUGAGAGAAAACUUCUAGAAAGGGAUAGUUGUCUUAAUUUGUUAGACAAGAUGCUGAAAUUAGAUACAGCUCUCCAUUUUCUGGUACAAAAAGAUGACAUUUCCCUGAAUUUAAGAGAAGGGUGGCAGAUUCUGUCACGACCCAAACCGAUGGGCCGCGAUGGGCACGAGGUACCUUACUCAAUCGAGUACCAACGUAACAUAUCUUUCUUAUUACAUCAUCAUAUACAUGUGACAUACGGGCCUAAUAGGCCAACAUCAUCAAUUAUAAACUCAAAACAUAGGCCGACAAGGCCGUACAAUCUUUCACAUACAUGACAUAUGUCUACAAACCUCUAAUAGUACAUAAAUAUCAUAAAGGUCGGGGCAGGGCCCCGCCAUACUAAUCAGUACAUGUCCUAAUCAUACUGACCACAUAAGAAACUCCGGAACAAAUGGAGUGUACCAACAUCUUCCGCUGAGCUGAUCGCCUACUUGGAGGACUCUCGACCUGUCUAUCGAGACCUGCGGGUAUGAAACGCAGCGUUCCCAGGGAAAAAGGACGUCAGUACAAAUAAUGUACCGAGUAUGUAAGGAAUGAAAAUCAGUAAAUAAUAUACAUGAGAGAAACAUGGAGUAAAAGACUUGACAUGUACGUCUGCAUAGCUCUGUGAAUCAUUUCAUUUUUAUAACAUCAUACGUAUACGUAUAAAUGUCAUACCAUGCAUAGGUAUAUGUGUUCUUAACAUCAUCAAGCCUUUGAGGGCAUCCUAUCAUAUCAUUUCGGCCACUGUGGGCAAAUCAUCAACGUAUACCAGCUGAUCAGGUGGUGGUGCGUAUAUAACGCCAUAACCUUUUUCUAUAUCCCAUAUACAUAUAAUAUACGCGUAUAUAACGCUUUCUUAUCAUGGGUCAAUGUAUAUGUAUAAAUGCAUGAAAUGCAUAAGAAAUACGUUAAUACGAUUUCUCGAAUAUCAUAAAAUCAAUAUGCCUUUCAGAAAACUUUAUCAAAUACGUAUUUUUCUAAGACCCAUGAACAGAGGAAAUAAUAAUAAUUCACAUAGUGAAAUCAAGAAUAUAGAGCCCUAGUAUUUCUAUGAAUAGAGUCAUUUAUGAGUGUGGCGUUGCCGGCUAUUACCCGGACUUCUUUUUUUUCCGGCAGCAUUAUCUUCUACUGUUAAUCUUUUCUUCUCCUCUUCAUUCCCUAGAAUUGAUGAUUCGCUGUUUAAUUAUUAAUCAUUAGUUAAAUCAUAAUUUUGCUUGACAACAUGCUAAGGUUAAUAUUUAAUCACUAGUAAAUUGUUUUAACCUUCUAAGUAGCUACUUGUUGAAUUGAAUCUGAAGUUGGUCAAUUGAUAAUUACUUGUUGGUUUGAAUUGCAUAUCUACUUAAUCAACUUGUUUAAUCAGUUGUUGAGUCAUGUUUAGCUUAUGUUUGUUAGCUUACUAUUAAUUCAGUUUAGUUAAUUGCUAUCUGUUAAACGUUUGGUUCUGAUAUGAGAAAGAGGGCAAUAAUUUUGGGUAUAGGGUAGUAAAAUGAUGAGUUAAAAGAAAAGGUUAAACGAAGGGUAUUAACAUAGACUUGAGGGAGUUAAAGGAAUUAAGAAAAUGAGAGAAAACUUCUAGAAAGGGAUAGUUGUCUUAAUUUGUUAGACAAGAUGCUGAAAUUAGAUACAGCUCUCCAUUUUCUGGUACAAAAAAAUGCCAUUUCCCUCAAUUUAAGAGAAGGGUGGCAAAUUCUGUCACGACCCAAACCGAUGGGCCGCGACGGGCACCCGUUACCUUACUCAACCGAGUACCAACGUAACGUAUCUUUCUUAUUAUAUCAUCAUAUACACGUGACAUACGGGCCUAAUAGGCCAACAUCAUCAAUUAUAAACUCAAAACAUAGGCCGACAAGGCCGUACAAUCUUUUACGUACACGACAUAUGUCUAUAAGCCUCUAAGAGUACAUAAAUAUCAUAAAGGUCGGGAUAGGGCCCCGCCAUACUAAUCAGUACAUGUCCUAAUCAUACUGACCACGUAAGAAACUCCGGAACAAAUGGUGUGUACCAACAUCUUCCGCUAAGCUGAUCGCCUACUUGAGGACUCUCGACCUGUCUAUCGAUACCUGGGGGCAUGAAACGUAGCGUUCCCAGGCAAAAGGGACGUCAGUACAAAUAAUGUAUCGAGUAUGUAAGGAAUGAAAAUCAGUAAAUAAUAUACAUGAGAGAAACAUGGAGUAAAAGACUCGACAUAUAUGUCUGCAUAGCUCUGUGAAUCAUUUCAUUUUUAUAACGUCAUGCAUAUGCGUAUAAAUGUCAUACCAUGCAUAGGUAUAUGUCUUCAUAACAUCAUUAAGCCUUUGAGGGCAUCCCAUCAUAUCAUUUCGGCCACUGUGGGCAAAUCAUCAACGUACAGCUGAUCAGGUGGUGGUGCGUAUAUAACGCCAUAACCUUUUUUUAUAUCCCAUAUACAUAUAAUAUAUGCGUAUAUAACGCCUUCUUAUCAUGGGUCAAUGUACAUGUAUAAAUGCAUGAAAUACAUAAGAAAUACGUUAAUAAGAUUUCUCGAAUACCAUAAAAUCAAUAUGCCUUUCAGAAAACUUUAUCAAAUACGUAUUUUUCUGAGACCCAUGAACAGAGGAUAUAAUAAUAAUUCACAUGGGAAAAUCAAGAAUAUAGAUACCCCUAGUAUUUCUAUGAAUAGAGUCAUUUAUGAGUGUGGCGUUGCCGGCUAUUACCCGGACUUCUUUUUUUCCGGCAGCAUUGUCUUCUACUGUUAAUCUUUUCUUCUCCUCUUCAUUCCCUAGAAUUGAUGAUUCGCCGUUUAAUUGUUAAUCAUUAGUUAAAUCAUAAUUUUGCUUGACAACAUGCUAAGGUUAAUAUUUAAUCACUAAAAAAUUGUUUUAACCUUCUGAGUAACUACUUGUUGAAUUGAACCUGAAGUUGGUCAAUUGAUAAUUACUUGUUGGUUUGAAUUGCAUAUCUACUUAAUCAACUUGUUUAAUCAGUUGUUGAGUCAUGUUUAGCUUAUGUUUAUUAGCUUACUAUUAAUUCAGUUUAGUUUAUUGCUAUCUGUUAAACGUUUGGUUUUGAUAUGAGAAAGAGGGCAAUAAUUUUGGGUAUAGGGUAGUAAAACAAUGAGUUAAAAGAAAAGGUUAAACGAAGGGUGUUAACAUAGACUCGAGGGAGUAAAAGGAAAUAAGAAAAUGAGAGAAAACUUCUAGAAAGGGACUACUGUCUUAAUUUGUUAGAAAAGAUGCAGAAAUUAGAUACAGCUCUCCAUUUUCUGGUACAAAAAGAUGCCAUUUUCCUGAAUUUAAGGGAAGGCUGGUAGAUUCUUUGGAGCUGAUCUGAUUCCUUCAUAAAGCUCUCAUAUAUUCUAUAUAAUAGAGGAAUUCUUUGCAGAUUUUACACACAGUAAAAUCCCAGAAAAAUCUAAAAUUUCCUUUUCAUUUAACACUGAUCCUGCACUGAUUUUUUAGAGUCCUCUUUUCUUCACUUUCAUUUUAGCAAAGAAAAUUCUGGAAAACCAACUCUGGGAUUUCAGAAACAAAAAUAAAAAUAAAUACUCUCUGAAAAUCUGAAAUUUCACACGUUAACAAGAAGAAAUCUGGGCAUUUCUGGAAAGAAUCAGUGUUCAUCGACACUGUUUCAUUGUUUUUCUUUUGGUUCAUUUCUGGAUUUUUGAGAUUGAGCUUCAAAGCAUUCUUGUGUUGUUUCUACUGUUUGUGUGCUUGCUGUUGCUUCUUCUCAGAAUUUCAGAGAUUUAUUUUCUCUUUUACUUACCUUUGUUGCUUUAAGGUAUAUAUUGAUAAACUUUGUACGAUUCUGAACUUAGCACAAUCACAUUAAGCUUGAAAUCUGUGAAUUUUAGAUGGUCGUUGUGCUUACAUGAUGUUUUACCUUCUUUAUGAAUUGUUCUAAAAAAGGUUUGAAUGACUUGAAAUGAGAAGGUCUAACUUUGUUGAUCCUACUGUUGCUCAUGAAUUAUUUCAAUAACAUGUUAUCUUUUUAGUUUACUCAUGUUUCAAGCCUAAUGUCAUAGAUAGGCCAUUGAUCUAGCUUAAAGGUUCUUUCAGGUUCAAAACAUCUCCAUGUCUAAUUGAUUGUACCAUGAAUAAUGACGUAUUUACUGGAAAUAGGUGAUUCAUGUUUGAAAUAGUGUUUGCAGGGGGCUGAUCAGUAAGAAUCAGUUUGUUUUGAUGUUUUGAGUUUAAAGUGGAAUUGUUCUUUGGUUAAACUCAGGAAUUACUCAACAGUUAGACUAAUCUCAUUUGUAUUUGUAUGUUUAGAUAUUGUUGGUGGUCAAGUGAUUUCUGAGGGUAGCUCAGUGGCUAUCUCAUUGUAAAUCAAGAUCAACAAGGAGAUUGAAAAGUCACUAGCUUAAGUCAUUUUUUCUUUCUUCCUGGAAAGGUGUAAAAGAAGACAUCAUUAGUUUCGAUUAAUCAACCUUGUAAUUUCAAUUGUCUAUUGUUAAUUGAUGUAAUCACAUGACAAAUCAUGAACCAUAUUCAUUUUUAUUUACAUAUUUUGUUUGGAUUUGGAAAUUAAUGUUAGACCUCCAGAAUUUAUAAAUUUGGGCCCUUUUAGCGUGAUCAAUGGUAGGCCUUGC